UGGGGAAUAUUGCACAAUGGGCGCAAGCCUGAUGCAGCCAUGCCGCGUGUAUGAAGAAGGCCUUCGGGUUGUAAAGUACUUUCAGCGGGGAGGAAGGGAGUAAAGUUAAUACCUUUGCUCAUUGACGUUACCCGCAGAAGAAGCACCGGCUAACUCCGUGCCAGCAGCCGCGGUAAUACGGAGGGUGCAAGCGUUAAUCGGAAUUACUGGGCGUAAAGCGCACGCAGGCGGUUUGUUAAGUCAGAUGUGAAAUCCCCGGGCUCAACCUGGGAACUGCAACUGAUACUGGCAAGCUUGAGUAUCGUAGAGGGGGGUAGAAUUCCAGGUGUAGCGGUGAAAUGCGUAGAGAUCUGGAGGAAUACCGGUAGCGAAGGCGGCCCCCUGGACGAAGACUGACGCUCAGGUGCGAAAGCGUGGGGAGCAAACAGG
RNAcentral lists this ribosomal RNA (429 nucleotides) under Chloroflexota bacterium. RNAcentral describes it as "Chloroflexi bacterium partial 16S ribosomal RNA". It matches the Rfam family "Bacterial small subunit ribosomal RNA", at positions 355 to 776 of the family's 1533-position model. The record is from RNAcentral. Lineage: Bacteria; Bacillati; Chloroflexota.